RNAcentral lists this ribosomal RNA (808 nucleotides) under uncultured bacterium. RNAcentral's name for it is "bacterial SSU rRNA". It matches the Rfam family "Bacterial small subunit ribosomal RNA", at positions 561 to 1372 of the family's 1533-position model. The record is from RNAcentral.
GUAAGCGCGCGCAGGCGGCUAUUUAAGUUGGAUGUGAAAGCCUAGGCUGCCGUAGAACUGCAUCCAAAACUAUUUAGCUAGAGUGUGGGAGAGGAAGAUGGAAUUAGUUGUGUAGGGGUAAAAUCCGUAGAGAUAACUAGGAAUACCAAAAGCGAAGGCAAUCUUCUGGAACACUACUGACGCUGAGGCGCGAAAGCGUGGGGAGCAAACAGGAUUAGAUACCCUGGUAGUCCACGCAGUAAACGAUGAAUGUUAGUCGUCGGGUAGCUAGUCUAUUCGGUGAUGCAGCUAACGCAUUAAACAUUCCGCCUGGGGAGUACGGUCGCAAGAUUAAAACUCAAAGGAAUAGACGGGGACCCGCACAAGUGGUGGAGCAUGUGGUUUAAUUCGAAGAUACGCGAAGAACCUUACCUAGCCUUGACAUAUUUUAGAAUCUUUCAGAGAUGAGAGAGUGCCUUCGGGAGCUAAUAUACAGGUGCUGCACGGCUGUCGUCAGCUCGUGUCGUGAGAUGUUGGGUUAAGUCCCGCAACGAGCGCAACCCUCGUCACUAGUUACUAACGGUUCGGCCGAGGACUCUAGUGAGACUGCCUUCGUAAGGAGGAGGAAGGUGAGGACGACGUCAAGUCAUCAUGGCCCUUACGGCUAGGGCAACACACGUGCUACAAUGGUUGGGACAAUGAGACGCAAUACCGCGAGGUGGAGCAAAUCUAUAAACCCAAUCUCAGUUCGGAUUGUUCUCUGCAACUCGAGAACAUGAAGCUGGAAUCACUAGUAAUCGUAGAUCAGCUAUGCUACGGUGAAUACGUU